Molecule: long non-coding RNA, 221 nt
Filed under: Lathyrus oleraceus (garden pea)
Lineage: Eukaryota; Viridiplantae; Streptophyta; Magnoliopsida; Fabales; Fabaceae
Description: Pisum sativum (pea) long non-coding RNA (PSAT_LNC023596)
Source: RNAcentral
UAUUUCACGAUGAAACUUUCACCUCGAACAUUUAAAAACUGAGAGGAUAUAUCAUGGGAGCGUCAUGGUCUAUUUUUUUAAAAAAAUAUACAAAUUAUUCCCUUGAUUUUCUAAAAAUUCGAGGGAAUAUAGCUAUAAGGGAGCUCGAUUCAAAUCUCCAUUACUGCAUUUUAUAUAUUUUUUUAAAGUUUUAAUCUUUUUUUCAGUUCCCGCCUUUUCAG